AGAGUUUGAUCCUGGCUCACGAUAAACGCUGGCGGCGUGCAUAACACAUGCAAGUCGAACGAUGAAGAUUAAAAGAUUUCUUCGGAAUGAACUUAAUUGGAUUAGUGGCGGACGGGUGAGUAACGCGUGAGUAACCUGCCUUGUACAAGGGGAUAGCCGUUGGAAACGACGAAUAAUACCCUAUGACAUGAUAUUAUCGCAUGAAAAUAUCAUCAAAGAUUUAUCGGUAUAAGAUGGACUCGCGUCUGAUUAGCUAGUUGGUGGGGUAAAAGCCUACCAAGGCAACGAUCAGUAGCCGGCUUGAGAGAGUGUACGGCCACAUUGGGACUGAGACACGGCCCAAACUCCUACGGGAGGCAGCAGUGGGGAAUUUUGCACAAUGGGGGAAACCCUGAUGCAGCGACGCCGCGUGAUUUAGAAGGCCUUCGGGUUGUAAAAAUCUUUUGUAUGGGAAGAAAAUGACAGUACCAUACGAAUAAGGACCGGCUAAUUACGUGCCAGCAGCCGCGGUAAUAC
RNAcentral lists this ribosomal RNA (516 nucleotides) under Firmicutes bacterium enrichment culture clone 106MTBE. Its description in RNAcentral is "bacterial SSU rRNA". It matches the Rfam family "Bacterial small subunit ribosomal RNA", at positions 8 to 526 of the family's 1533-position model. Lineage: Bacteria; Bacillati; Bacillota. The record is from RNAcentral.